Molecule: non-coding RNA, 3488 nt
Organism: Odocoileus virginianus texanus
Lineage: Eukaryota; Metazoa; Chordata; Mammalia; Artiodactyla; Cervidae
Source: RefSeq, a predicted model, not a curated record
GAGUGGGCUGCCAUUGCCUUCUCCAUGCGUACUGUGGGAAAUAAAUUCUUAGAAAAGGCACUAAUGCGCCUGCCCUUAAAAUUGCUACUUUAUCACAUCUGCUGUUGACUGGGGCAGAGGCAGUGUGAAAUACAGAGAGCCAUUCCAGUAGGUUCUUGGUUGCAUCUAUUAAAACUUUGCUCUAAUGGAGCAAUUCUGCCUCUAGGAAGUGGAAAUCCUUGGGGCCAGAUAUGUUCCAGAUUUUAAAAAGGUAAUUUGGCACUUAUGCCACAUUCUUCAUCACUCUCCCACAGGGUCUGGAGGUGUCCCACGCUGGGGUCUUCAGUUCCACUUCUGAUUUCAGCCUCGUGCACACAGGUCCCAUCUCAAGUGUGGCUGGGAAGUUCCGGAGAGUGGAAGUUCCUUGGGGCAACCCUUGGCUAGGGCCCAGGGGCAGGUGGGUAAGUGCCUAGUAGACUCCAUCUUUCAGGUGAAUACUCCAGGCUACCCACGAAGUCCCAGAGGACUAACCGCCCCUCUGCAGCUACCUCGGCAAUGACCCUUGUUUUGGCUUCUCCCUGUCCCUAUCUUUCUCUCCCCAGUCCCUAGUUCCUGCUUCCUGGCAUCACCUUCCAAAUAAACCACCAGCACCCAAGUCUUGUCUCUGGCUCUGUUUUUAGGGAGCCCAGCCCAGAAUAAUCCCUUAAUGAAACACUUUUUAAUAUUCCUUCAGCAAGCUGCAUACAUAUUCACAGUAAGUGAGAUACACAAAGACGAAAUAGCCUCACAUCGAUUUGGGUCAGGUUUGCUGCCAUCUAGGUAAAGAGAAGUUCUUCUGAGCACCAGAAUGUUAUGGCUGCGGAUAAGGGCCCGGCCUGUACUUGCCUGGUAUACAGAGGUGCACCCUCUCAGGCUUGGUUAAGUCAGUGUGAGUGGGGAAUGUCUUGGUGCCAUGGAUGCUCCCAGAAGUGCCCAAGGACACAACAGUGACCAGGACUUUGAGGGCCUGCCCCCAAGGAGCUGACAUCUAAGCAGGAGGAGACAAUCGACAAAUACAGGUAGGUAAACAAGGUAAUUUGACCUCUGGUAACACUGGGGAAGGAGAUCCCAGCGUGAUUACAGGUGAUGGGGUGCUCAGGGGAGGCCCAUCUCUGGAGGUUUCUGAGCAGGAAGGGGACAAGGAGAAGGAGCCCCGGACACACAAUUUGGCGACGGGGAAGAGCAGAUUCACUUUCCUAAGACAGGAUUGGGUUUGCCCUGUUUGAGGAAGAGCAAGGAUGCCAAAUGGGUAAGCACAAGAUCCUGCCAGCAGGGCGAAGGGAAGAGCCCUAGUGAAGGCUUUCUAGCUUCCAACAGCAGAGGGAGGUACUGAGGGGCUUCGAGCAGGGAGCACCAUGAUCUGAUUUGGAAGAGCCCUCUGCAUAAUGCUCAGGGAGCGGAUGGGAGUUAGUGGCAACAGUGCAAACUCAGAAUCAGCAGAGUGGUAUCUUCUGUCCACCGGCACCCAUGCCCCUCUUGUCUUAACAAUCACACCACCUGUCCUGGGCCCUCUGGCCUCUAGCAACUGCUUCCGGGAACACAAGCCCCGCCCCCGCCGCCACCACCACGGGUGCUCUGAUUGGCCUAAGGAUGACACUUCCUCUGUCAGUGAUAGGUCAAGAGUAUGCAUGUGGCCAACCCCACCCAAUGAAACAUCAGGGAAAGCAACCAGGACUCUGAUGCGGAGUCUACCGACACAGCCAGCUUGGCGGUGAUGUCUGCUACACCACUGAGGUGGGGGUGAGCACAACGAGGGAAGAGGCUGCUUCCUGCACCCCGGAACCCAAAGCUCACUCCAGGCUUCCUGUUGCGCUGAAAUGGGGAUAUGCUUGUGGUCGACGUGAGACUGAGCAGGGGUUUCUGUUACUUGCAGCAGGAAACCUUUGAUGGACAAGCAAAAUGCCUAUCAGAAGGGAAGUCUUAGCAAAUCAGGGCACGUCGGUAUUGUGGAACAUGGCAGAGCCAUUGUAAAGAAGAGCAGGAUCCUUGUGUCUAAAAAGGGAACCAGCCACAGGAGAUAAUUCUGGUUCUCAACCAGGAAUUAUUUUCUCCCCAGGCUACCGUUUAUUCCUUCCACUGUUGACAGACACUUGGGUGGCUUCUAGUCUGGCACUGUGAUGAACGAAGCUGUGCUGCAUCCUUUUCUGGACAACACCCAGGCUGAGGUCAUAGAAGGGAGACUGCUGUAAACUGGCUCAAGGCUGAGAAGGUAAUGGACACUCUUUGCAUUAUAUAAUACAGUACAGGAUAAAGAACACCCUUAGCCAGAGGUUGAUCUUUGCAGUGUAAAAGGUCUGGUUGCUUUUUAAAGAAGUGCUGCUAUUGGACUGGACCCCAUGAGGGCUCUGCUCUUCCCCCCUCUCCUUGAGGACCUCAUUGCCUGCACCUCCUCCCCUGCCCCAUUCCCCACCAGAGCAGUUGCAGGACUGGAUAAAGCUGAGAAGGACAGGAAAGCCCAUGUGGAAGGCUGGAGGCAAGAGGAGGCAGGAUUUUGGUGAGACAGGGAAUGAAAAAGAAUCGAGGUAUGGGUAUGGAGUGGAAGGUGAGGAAUGUGAAGGGGGGGAGGGUCCUGGGAAAGCACUUCCUGCUGCCAUAGGUGGAACAAGUUCAGUGGACAUUACCCCGUGGACCUCCCUCUGUUCUCCAGAGUCACUUCUUUCCUGCUGCCACUGUGCCUGUGCCACCAGCAUCUCUUGCCUGCAUCUCUGCAACAUCCCUUGCCAACAUCCCUUUAACUGGCCUCCUAGCUUCUAUUCUUCCCACCCCACCCUCAACAACCCAUUCUGUGCCAGCCACCAGAAUAUGGAGAUCUUUUACAGGAACAAAAGAACACAUUUCUCUUGUGCUUAAAAGCUCUACUGGGUGUUUGUUGCGCUUAGAAUGCAUCGCCAGCAACUUCCAGGAUCUAUCAGGCAAGAUGCAGUCCAGCGGGGACAGUGUCUCUGACCCCUUCUACUCCAACCACACUGGCUGCUGGUCCUCAGACAACCACAAGUUCUAGCCUCAGGGCAUCUGUAUUUUCAAUCACUCCAUCCAGAAUAAUGCGCCCCAAACCCUGUCAUAUCAGCUUCUUGUCAUUCCAGCCCCAUUUCCGUGUCACCUCCCCCGAGGUGUCUUCCCAGAGUCCUCGAAGCUGGCCUUGUCCUGAAGCAUUAUCCUGUCCCUCUGUUUUCUUUCUUUCCUACUGCUGGUCUCUCUGAAAUGAUCUACUGUAGCACUUCCCCGUUUGUAGACUGAGACAAGAGGACUUGUCCGUCAGUUUCUUUGCUGUGCCCAGAGUCCCAGCAUGCUCCUGGCAUGCAGUAGGAACUUGACACUGACUCCCCCCCAAAGAUUCCUGGAGUCUGGACCGAUGGGAGAGCCCCUGGGAUCCUGUGUGUCCUCCAUCAGCUGAUGGAGUGUGCAUUGUGUGGAGAAGGGUCUUCUUGUUGGGGAUUCUUGUUACCUGGGUAAUUAAAAAAUAAUUUAAA